CGAAUUGCAAAACAAAUAUAAUAAAGAUGAAAUAAUUAGAAUGAUUUACUGUUCUGCCUCUUGUGUAUAUAAACCUGCAGAUUAUCGCCCAAGAAUGAGCCAGAUUGUUAAAGUCCUACAAGGGAAUGCACCUGUGGAAAGCAUAUGGUUAAGCGAUGACAGCAGUUUCCUUCACCAUGGAGCACCGUAUGCGCCUAUAUAACACUCUACCCAAGGUCUGCGGAGAUGUCCCGUCUCUCAAAAAUUCAACACUUGUAAUAAUUUUCUUUUGACUCUGGAUUUAUAUAAUAACUUUUCUUAAUUUAUUGCGAUCACAUGUUUCUGGUUUUAUGCAUUUCACAAUGCAAGGUGAUAAAAUUUCCCCAACUUGAUGCGGAAAACCUCCAUAUCCAAAAUCCUUGGUAAAUCGCUAUAUCUAAUGAA
This 423-nucleotide unclassified non-coding RNA is filed under the name Hevea brasiliensis (rubber tree). The record is from RNAcentral. Lineage: Eukaryota; Viridiplantae; Streptophyta; Magnoliopsida; Malpighiales; Euphorbiaceae.